AGCUAAACAUACAGGACUGGAGCAGAACAACUCCAGAAGAAAUGUAAUGACCUCCAUCCGGUGACAAGCUGCUGUAAUGCUGGAACUGUAUGAUCUGCCAGUAAAGAAUUAAAAAAAAAUCUGCCUAUUAUAUUACUGGUUGCGAGAUGCCAAUGAGAGCAAGGAGAACAAUGAGAGCUGCCCAAUGAAGAAACAACUUUGAAGCAUAGGAAAAUACUCCUAUUUUUUAUUCAUAUUAUGGUUGGACUGGUUAUGCUUGACCAAACUUUCUUCUAUAUCCUUGGCUGUUGCACAUCUGAGCAUAUUG
Dromaius novaehollandiae (emu) is the source of this 307-nucleotide long non-coding RNA. RefSeq lists it as uncharacterized. The transcript has 3 exons. Lineage: Eukaryota; Metazoa; Chordata; Aves; Casuariiformes; Dromaiidae. The record is from RefSeq and is a predicted model, not a curated record.